Molecule: long non-coding RNA, 8391 nt
Organism: Cavia porcellus (domestic guinea pig)
Lineage: Eukaryota; Metazoa; Chordata; Mammalia; Rodentia; Caviidae
Exons: 2
Source: RefSeq, a predicted model, not a curated record
UCUAGGGGCGCAGGUUCCCUGCCAAGGUUCGAGUCUUUUCCCAGCUUGCAAAGUCAGCAGCACAGCUGCCUCCAGUGUCUCCUUCCUUGUCCCUCUGAUUCUGUUGUCAUCUUGCCGUCUGACUCCCUGCCCCCCUGUUCUAAGCACCCCUGUGAUGUCAGGGCCACUGGGAUAAUCCAGGAUAAUCUCUCGUUUCAAAACAUAUAGUGUAAUCAAAUUGGCAAAAAGUGCCUUUUGCCACCUAACGCAACCUCGCAGUUUCCAGGGGCCAGGACGUGGACAGACGUGGGGGAGUAUUUUUUCAGCCCGCCACGUACGGCUCCGCAGGCGAAGUGACUCGCGUACCAGAAACGAAUUGCACACUGCGGGGCGCACUAGCGAGACUCAAGAAAACUGCAACUUCGGAAAAAAGACUCUAUUUUACGUAACACUUUAAAGGAUUCUCAGAGUCCUGGAAGUCAACACACACGAUCCUGGGUAAGCACCCUUAACGUAGAAUCCCAGCACAUCAGGCAGCCGCCACGAUGCUAAGGGAACGCCAAGGGACCGGGGCGCCUUUACGUUCGCGUCGCUUAGUCUGCCGGGACAGCAGGUGGCGCUCCCGCCCACCCGUCCGGCUCCAGGCGCCGGUUCAGGGCAAGGGAGCGUGGAGUCGCCUUGGUUCCUGCGGUGUUCCAGGCCGCGGGUACGGAGCAAGGAUGCGCGGGCCCGGAGGCGAGGAGCGGCCGGGGAGGCUUCGCCGUCGUGGCCGCGAGCAGCUGGUGACGUUGCCGAGUGCGCUGCAGAGACCCGCGGCAGAUAUGGAUGAGCCUGCCAAGGAAAAAAACGAAGCCCUUCCUCGUUAUUUAAAAAAAGCAUGGCAACAACUGCUGCUUGAUUUCGGAAGCGGGCUUCCUCGCGCGUCUCGGCGCACCGCUUCUGCCCCCAGGCCGGCUGCCUGCUCGCCAGAAGCGAGGAUGUGCGCGCCCGGGUCGGACCGGAGGCUUCCUUUCUCGGAGGCGGAGCCUUCCGGCCGAGGACGGGCUGAAGUUAUAUAUUGGAAGCCGUAGGACAGAGUUGCGUGGAAGACGGCGCGGCCUGUCCGAUUUAGAGUCUGGCGGAGGAGGUGCUGGGAGAUUGCAGGCGCUGGAAGCCAUCUGGAUAGGAGUAAAACACGGCCCCUUUCCGGAGAGCAUGUAGCCGGAGAACAAGGCUUCUCAAAGUCUGGUCGUAGAUCAACUGUCUGUCACUAAGGAUGGAGAUUACUGGGUCUUUCACCUGCUAAAUCAGUUGGAAGGAUGGGAGGUGGUGACUGCGGCUGAAUAGCUAUAUCUAUCUUAUUGAAAUAUUUUUAUUUUUACCCGAGAUUGAACCCAGACCCUUGUGAUGUAGGGGAAAGAAACUUCCAGCCUACUAGAUGUCUGAUACAAGUUCGUGUUCUUUAAAAUCGAAGAAUGAAUUUUAAGAACAAUGGAGGUUAAGAACAGAAUAUAUUUAUUGAGAGAAAGAAAACGUCCGUAGGAGAGACAGAAGAGAUCCCAGUGUGUUGCCAAAGACUGUCUUUUUUAGGGACUUUUAUAGAGUAAAUCCACAAAGUGAGGCAGGUCUAAGGUAGGGGAAACAGGGGAACUCACAAAAUGGGCAUGAGGUGGGGCAGAACUAUGACCAACCAAUAAGAUUAAUCCUCAGGUGAAGUUGAUUAAAUCGGGGACAAAUGAGGAAGCAAGUUUCAUAGCCAGAGGGCAUGCAUACAGAGCAGUGACUCUUCCUUAGGAGGUUAGGAUAGUGACUCCUGGCUUCCUCGGGGUGAUAGGGACCUACUUAGAACAUCAAUUCCUGAUGUUUAUCCUUAGGAAGUAGGUGGGUGCAUUUGAUUUAUCUUUUGUCUUAAGGUUUGGCCCACAGAGGAGGUGCCUGUCUCCCCCACAGUUGCAAGGUGUCUCAUCUUCUGCACUGGCUUCCUUGAGGGCCCAGUCCUGUGUGACUGCCUGUCAUAUUUCUUUCUAACUCAGUUGCUUGUAACACUCGCACAUGGUAGGAAAGCGCUCUACCACUGAGCUGUCCCCGCAGUAUUUUUAAUAAAUUCCCUGAAUGAUCCUCCCACUUUCUGAGUUUGGGAACCACACCUCCAGCUCUUGAUACCCAAAGUGGGUGGAGCAGAUAAAAGAACCAGCCAGAGAAUACACAUCUUUCAGAGUUGAUUCUCUAGUCUCACCAGCUAGAGGUCAUGUGGACUAAAUAAUCAAUUCUUUUCUGUCUUAUAGUCUUCACCUGUUAAACCUCAAAUCCUCUUAAAAACUGUCCCCAAAUACUUCUGGGAACAUUUUGUUUUCUCCUCCCUAAUAACUGCUUCCUGUGACUUGCAUUAAGGGAGGCACAAAAGUGGCCUCUGCAGCUUAGGUCCCCAGUCUCUCUUUUCCUGUGGGGCGCUGCACCAGCUCCCCAAAACUGCAGAACCUAAACAGCUAGAAGGAGCAAAUUUCUCCUUAGGUCUCAAGGUGCUCAAAUCAUGCUUUGUUCCUGCAAAGCUCCUGAUUCCAAUGCAGCGUCAGAGUUUGUCUAUUCUGUGGAGUGGCUCGUUGAUUCCUCAGCAUCUGUAUGAAGAUGAUCUCAUUAUUGCAGCGGUUUUCCCAAUUAGGAAACUAAGGCUCAGGGAUGUUAUGUUUCUUUUUUGGGACAAUGCACCAGCUGUGUAUAAGAAGAACAGGACUUUGAACUCAUUUCUGUCUGACCUUAAACCCAUGUCCUUCAUGAUCAGAGUGUAUUGUUGCUUUUUUUUUUUUUUUUUUAAAGCUGUGUUCUGUGCAUUGGAAUCUGAGGUUCAAACACGCCUAUCACUUAGAUCAAGCAGGACGUGGAACUGCUUGGCCACUGCUUGCGACACUUCCCUGUUACCUCCUACAAUUCCUCUUGAGAUUCUGGAGUGCCCCCCUCCACGGAUCUCUCUCUCUUGUUGCCAAGCUGACCCUGUGACACGCGGCUUCAUUACCCUGCUCCACAUAUUCUGACAUGGUUGGUAGUGAUACCCCAAUCUGCCUCUGACUUCUUUUCUGGCCCGAUUCCCUCCUCUUCCUCCUCAUACCCUGUCCCCUCUGGUCCUGUUUCUUGCCCACUUCUACUGUGGCACACUUGUCAGAGGCAGCUGAGAUGCUACUUCCUUCAUGUAGCUCUUCUGAUUCUUCUGAUUCAAGGAUGCAACCCUUGAAUUUCCCAAACCUUUUAUUUGUACAUUUCCUAAGGGGCUUAGUAAUAACAACCAUCACUUAGGGAGAAAUGACCGGACUGCGCACACUACAAGACCCUUGGUAGCAGCAACCUUCCAAGGCCAGCAGGACAGCUUCCAUUCUAUAGGUUAGGAGAACUGGACCUGUAGGAAGCUAGCAGCCCAAGAAGACACAAAAAGAACAUGAGGAGAAUCGAGUGUUCACCCAGUUCUGUCUGUCUUUAUGGUUCUCAAGCCUCCUUCAACCUUGUGUAUAGGUUUUUAAAUUUUUAGUUAGAAAUACAGUCUGAUGAGUUUCAUUUUAGAAAUAUACUUGCAUCCAACCUAUCUUGACCAUUUCACAUCCUGUUACUCCUCCCCUCACCUCAAUCCCCUUCCUUAUCUCCCAAAGUCUACCUUUCUGAUUCCUGACAUCUCUUCUUUAACUAUUACGUUAUUUGUCUAGGUUGCUUAUGUAAGGUAGCCCAAGUAAUAUUUAACUAUCUGAGUCUAGCUUAUUUGCCUUACCGUGGUGGUCGUGAGUUCCUGCCAAUUUCCUGCAGAUGACAUGACUCCAUUCUUCCUUCUAGCUGACUGACAUUACACUAUGCAUAAUGCCACAUUUCCUUUGUCCAUUUGUCUAUUGACGGACACCCAGGCUGCUUCGGGAGCUUAGUUGCUGGGCACUGUGCCACUCUAAGCCCGGGUGUGCAUAUACCAGUAUCAUAUACUUGUUUUGGAAAUAUAUCCAGGAGAGGUGUCAUAGGUCAAGUGGAAUUUCUAUUUGGGUUUCUUGAGGAGUCUCCAUACUGGCUUCCCAUAGUAGUUGUGCUAGUUUAUAUUCCUACCAAUGAUAUUAGGAGGGCGUCUUUCCUUCUGCAUCUUGCCCUGCUUUCACAUUUUUUGCAUCCUUAUUUUAUUUUCCUUUUGAGACAGAGUUUUUCUAUGUUGUUCAGGUUGGACUUGAACUCAGUAUGUAGCUGUUUUCUCCAUGUGGAUGCCCAGUUUCCCCCAAACCAUUUGUUAGAGGGGCUAGCUUUUCUCCAGAGCCUGUUUUUAGUCCCUGUGUUGAAAGUCAGAUGGCUGCAGGUGAGCAGGUUUUUUUUUUUUUUUGUCUUCCACUCUAUCUGUUGGUUUACUGCCUUGUUUUUGUGCCAGUGCCCAUGCCGUUCUUGUUACUGUGGCUUUUUAGUGUAGCUUGAAAUCCAGCAUUGCAGUGACUCUAGCAUUGCUCUUUUUGCUCAUGCCUGCUUUGGCUAUUCUGGAUCUUUUGCCAGUGAAUUUUAGGAUUUUUUUUUUAGGAUUUCUUUUUUGUAGUUCUGGGGAGAAAGUUAGUGUUUUAAUAGAAUUCCUAUUAAAUAUUUAUUUUUCAUAGUAAUGCCAUUUUCAAAUUAGCUCUUCUGAUCUAAGAACAAGGGAUAUCUUUCUGUUUUCUAAUGAUUUCUUCAGAGUUCUAUAAUUUUCAUCAUAGAGGUCUUUCCUUGGUUAGGUUUACUUUCAAGUGUUUAUUUUUUUUUAAAAUGUUGCAAGUGGAAUUGUUUUCCUGAUUUUUCUUUUGGUGAGUUUAUUAUUGGUGUGUAGGAAUACUAUUGAUUUUAAUGUAUUGAUUUUUUUUUUAUCCUACAACCUUGCUGAAUUUUUAAAAUGUUUAUGUAUUUAUUUGAGACAGGGUCUCACUGUGUAGUUUAUGCUGGCCUUGAGUUUACUAUGUAACCCAGGCUGGCCUCAAACUCACAGCGAUCCUCCUGCCUCAGCCUCCUGAGCAUUGGGAUUACUGGUAUGCACCAUGCCAGGUCACCUUGCUAAAUUUAUUUAUCAGAUCUAAAAUUUUCUGGUGGAGUUUUUCUUUUUGGGGGGGAGAUGGCCUUCUUUGUAAAGAAUUAUUAUCUGUAAAUUGGAGUAAUUUGACGUUUUCCUUUUGUUUUUCUUUUUUAAAUAAAAACUUUUUAUUAGCACAGAUUUGCUGAACAUAAUAAAUUCUUUUUAAAGCAGGGCUAGUGAUUGAACUUAUGGCCUGUACACUGAGCUACAUCCCCGGUCCCUUCAAAAUUUUUGUUAAUUUUCUCUUGCCUGAUUGCUCCGGUUAAAGUGUUGAGUUAUAUAUAUGUAUAUAUAUAUAUAUAUAUAUAUAUAUAUAUAUAUUUUUUUUUUUUUUUUUUUGGCUUUUUCGUUUUUAUCGGUACCAGGGAUUGAACUCACGACUGCCUGCUUUCAAGGCCGGCGCUUAUGCCGCUGAGCUAAAUCCCCAGCCCCUGAGUUAUAUAUUAAAUAGAGUGUUCGAAGUGACCCCGAUCUCACUUCUGAUUGUAAAGUGCAUGAUUUCAGUUUCCUCCAUUCAGGGUGAUGCUGGGUUUGUCUUUGGUUCAUCAAUCCUUUGUAAUUUUUGAAGUUUCAAUCUUGUUAAUUUAUGCUCUGAUAUUUAUUAUUACUUUCCUGUCAUUGGUUUUGGGAUUGGUUUGUUUUUCUAGGACCUUGAGAUAAAUCAUUAGAUAAUUUAUAUGUGGUUGCUCUGUUUUACUAACUGUAAAUGUCUGAUACAUUUCCCAUUAUUGUUUUAUUAUAGAAAUUUAAAAAAUUUCUUUCUUGAUUUCUUUAGUAACUUUGCUCAUUGAUUAUUUUGCUUCCCCCCCCCUUUUUUUUUUUAAUAAUUUUUUUUUGUCUUUUUCAUUUUUAUCGGUACCGGGGAUUGAACUCAUGACCGCCUGCUUGCAAGGCAGGUGCUUAUGCCACUGAGCUAAAUCCCCAGCCCCUUUCCCCCUUUUUUGGAGACAGAGUCUUGCUAUGUAGUCCAGACUAGCCUUGAACUUACUGUGUGGCCCAGGAUGGCCUGUAGCUUGCAGCAACCUUCCUGUUGCAGCCUCCUGCGAGCUGGGAUUACAGAUGUGUGCUGCCAUACCUGGACGUUUAUUUUGCUUUUGAUUUCUAGUUUCAUUCCACUGUGAUCUGAUAGGACACAGGAAAUUACUUCAGUUCUGUAACCCAGGCUGGCCUCAAGCUCAUGGCUAUGUUCCUGCCUCAGCCUCCCGAGAACUGGCAUUACAGGCAGGCACCACACACCUGGCCAGUCCCUACUAGUAUACAAAAAAGUAUACAAAAAAAGUAUACAAAAAAACUAGUAUACAAAAAAUCCUAAUAGUAUACAAAAAAGAGAAGAACCGCGUGUGGCGGCAUAUGACUGUAACCCAGGCUUUUGGAGGCUGAGAAGGUAUUUGUCUGUGCAGGAAAAUAAAGAAAAGCAGCCCCGGCUCCCAGCUAGCCCCGCCCCUUCAGGAUUGCUUCCUGCAGUUGCAGUGCUGCAGGGGUCAGGCGGGACACAGCCUCCACAAGCACCAUUUAUUUUUUCUGACCCUGUGUUGGCUCUGAGGCUGUUUGUUGGUUCACAGAUCCCACAGUGCCUGGUGGGAGAAAGUAGCCACACCAGGACUGCGCCUUCCCCGUCUCUUUCUGUCCCUGUGCCCGCCAGUUGUAUUCCAGCUGCCGCCCUCUGUGCCUCUGCAGCUUCCACUUUGCCUGGCUCCCUUGUUCAGAGACUGUCUCCCUGGACUAGGGAACAGCUGGCAGGGGAACCUCUCCACCUCCUGAGUCCGGGGAAUGUGGCGGGUAGGCUGGGUCUGGGGCAGCAGCCGCCAUACUGGGUUUCUUCCCAGGGAAGAAUUUGUGUUUUCCAAAAUGGCAUGACCUAAACUUGUACUGGGGUGAGCUGACUUUGCUUCUCAUUUCAACUGCCCUGUUUCUGUUCCCCGUCUCCUUCACCUUAUCUUCCUGUGACUGGUCUCCCCUCUGUGUCCUGCAGCUGGGCAGGCACCAGCUGACCUUGAUGAGUGUCCCCGAGCCAGCUGUGAGAGCUGCUGCCUCCAGCCUUGUAUAUAUAUAUACAUAUAUUUUAAUUUUUAAUUUUUGAAUGACUGCCCAACCUUUCCUUUGAGACUGAAGAUUUCAGAAGAGCAAGACUGGGUUUCACUCUUUCAUUCUCUGUGUCCUCAGUGACUAGGGUCAGCUGGUGAAUGACUGAGAGAAGAUGAGCCAGCCAAGUGCUGUUGAGGUGGCAGUGGCUGCUGGGUUUUGGGUGGCAUUUGGUGGGUGUGAUAGUGGUGGCCCAUAGUCCCUGUGAGGCCCAACUUUAGGUUCAGCUCUUUCCUCUCCUCCUCCGAGGUUCCUCCGAGGUUUGCUGGAAUGAGGUCUCCAGCAGGGCUCACUGCUGUUGGUCUCACCAGUGCCAGUGAAGUUGACACCAAAGAGCGCAUUUCUGCGGACUGUGGAGGGGGGAGGAGGAGAGGAGACUGAAGUCCCAGAGUGCUAGAGAUUUGAGAUUUGUCUUGGGCUCAGUACAAUUGACAGAGGUCCGGAGAGGGACAGGAGCUACAAGCCUGUCCUUCAGACUCUCGUCUCGUCCUGACAGCAGACUGGGGUGCCCUGCAGUGGGGACCCAGCUGAUUGUGUCCAGCUGUCACUGGUCCCCACCCUCAUGGAAUGUAUGUGCUAGUGUAUGUGGAGAGACUGACACAUGUAAGGAAGUUAAAAUAAAACCAACCUAUGUUAGGAGGUUAGCCUAAGGAGAAGAGUAAAGUGGGAAAGGGAUACUGGGUGUGGGGGCUGGCACUGGCAAUGGGGAAGUCAGUUUUAUUUAUUUAUUUGUUCCGGGCACACAAGGCAGGGGCUUAUGCCACUGAGCUAAAUCCCUGGCCCUGGAAGUCAGUUUUAAACAGGAUGCUCAGCAAAAUCAGCUGACUGCUGAGAAGGGGACACAGGGCAUCUGAACAGAGAGGUGAAGGAAGGGAGGGAGACAGUCCCUCAGGGAGAAGGCGCUCUGGGCAGAGAGAUGGCAGGUGUACUGUCCCAACUCAGGGUACCUCCAUCUGAGGAAUAGCAGAGAGGCCAGUCUGGCCGGAGGGGAGGGAGGGAAGAGGACAGUGGCAGCGGGGAAGGUCUGGAGGUAUUGGGAGAAGGUGGCACCUGUAUGCUCCCUGUCUGACCCUUAGCAACUGCAGGGGCUCUGACUCCAGCCCAGCCAGCCACAAGGACGUGUGCUGUGCCCAAAGGGAAAGAGUUGUCCAGGGGACACCAAACAGAAAAGCAGCAAAUUCUUGGCUCUCAAGUUUCAACAGCUUUCCUCCAACUCCUAAAGGAGCUGCUGAUCCAGGGAAAGUUGAGGACUGCUGGAAUGAGGAUCCAUAAAGUCCCUCUCAGUUAAUAAACCACAGUGCCUGCUC